AAACAUAUAAACAUGUAUGACUUCUAAAAUCGUUAUCCUUCCGCGUAAAAUUGUUUCUACUAACUAAUUUUUUUAGUAUAGCAAUUACACUGUCAUGAUCGUGUGCAGGAUUGGACAAAACAAGAUGGCAGACGGCAUUUCCAAACAAAGAUCCAGUCAGGAGCGGACUUCCUGAAGCUUAAAAGUUGCAAAUGAAUGAAGUGUGUUCUAUUUUAUGUCUCCUACUAAAACCAUGGUUUUGACAAACCUAAAAGAGCACGUGGAGCAAGGAACUAUCAGUAAGCCGGAAGAGCCAGCUCGAAAAUCUUUAAGUGUUUGAGAAUUUCACCGCGCACAUGAAUCUAAAGUUCUGCCACACGUUAGAAGGAGCCUUGUUCUCGAAGAUCAACAUGUUGAAAAGUUUUCAUUUUGCAGAAGCAAAUACAUUUAUAUUGUAUAUACACAUGUAGACCAUGUUCGAUUCCCAACCACUUAACAUUUGUGAAAUCUGCAUGGAAUUAUUAAAACUGAGCAUGGUUUGACGUAUAAUAAUCUCUUCAGGCAUGAUGGUUUACAUUUCACAAAGCUGUUCAAUAACAAUAAAGACUAUAAGAUG
Molecule: long non-coding RNA, 595 nt
Organism: Ostrea edulis (European flat oyster)
Lineage: Eukaryota; Metazoa; Mollusca; Bivalvia; Ostreida; Ostreidae
Exons: 2
Source: RefSeq, a predicted model, not a curated record